UCCGUGACCUAUUUUGGUUCAUUUUCUUUUCUUUUCUCAGAGUGAAUGCUUCAAUUUAGAACAACAGAUCGACUUCUUUAAGGAGACUGUACAAGAAGACUUGCCAUAUUUGAUUCCAGACCCUGAUGCUCGCAAACAGUAUCUUGCCAAAUCUAUCUUUUUCAUUUCCACGGGAGCCAAUGACUACUUUUUCACUUAUCCUAAAUCAAACACAAAGGACCCUAAUGAGUUUGCAAUCUCUCUCAUCUUUGAGUUGAAGAUCUACUUAGCCGUAAGUAAUCUUCUAUUAGAGCGAUCGAUGUACCUAAGACUGCUGUUUACAAUGUGUGUAGGGUGUUUGGAAUUAUUUUAUUUUAUUUUUUUUAAAUAUUUUUUGUUGACUUAUUUUUGUGUGAACUUGUUUUAAAAUUUUUCAAAAAUAUUUAGGCUUCUGAUUCUACUCAAAUGAGACGAAUCCAAAAAUUAAAAAGAAAAAAAAUUGAAAGCAAUUCAUAAAAGUUAAAAGCGAGUUUUUAAGCUUAUCUUGGCAUUUUAAUCUUUAUUUGGAAUUUUUCAAAAAUGUUUUACUUUUUAAAUUUGUCUACAUUGACAUAAUUCACAUAAAAAAAAAA
This is a non-coding RNA of Camellia sinensis, 611 nucleotides long. The record is from RefSeq and is a predicted model, not a curated record. NCBI's taxonomy places the organism in Eukaryota, Viridiplantae, Streptophyta, Magnoliopsida, Ericales, Theaceae.